This is a long non-coding RNA of Pseudophryne corroboree (corroboree frog), 1886 nucleotides long. RefSeq lists it as uncharacterized. The transcript has 4 exons. Lineage: Eukaryota; Metazoa; Chordata; Amphibia; Anura; Myobatrachidae. The record is from RefSeq and is a predicted model, not a curated record.
UGGAGCCGUGGCGAGGACAGAGCUGGUGACGCCAUUACGCAGAGACGAGCAGCUGAGAGAGGGGAGACAAAUAAGCUGAAAGUUGCAUGAGAGAGAAAGCAGAAGUGCAAAAUUCAGCAGUGGGAGUGCAGCAAUUAACAAGUAAGGAUGCCGUUAGUCGAUAUCCUGGCGCCAAAAUCCCGACAUGCGUCCAGAAUACCAACAUCAAUGGAAAUGCACCAUGGGAAUCCCAACAGCCGGCAUGCCAAACGAACACUGAUAUGAUGUGAGGAGGGGAACGGAGGCAGCAGGAAGCCACAGACUGAGAGUUGUAUAAUGGGAAGAGCAGGGUCCAUUGGGGGACCAAAAAGGGGUCCAGCCACUACACAUAGUGCGUCAAGGAAGUAAUAUAUGCCUAUAUACUAGAUCUCCAACCAACGAACUCUUUAUGCACUAGAUGGAGAGAUGAGACAGACCAAAAACAUUCUGUACCUGGGACACCCAUCAAGGCAACUGCUGUUAAACUAACUUGUGAGCUGCUCAGCAUGCAACAUAAAGGAAGCAGUAUAUAAUACCCUGCUCACCAUAAAACAUAAAGGAAGCAGUAUAUAAUACCCUGCUCACUAUACAACAUAAAGGAAGCAGUAUUUAAUACCCUGCUCACCAUACAACAUAAAGGAAGCAGUUUAUAAUACCCUGCUCACCAUACAACAUAAAGGAAGCAGUAUAUAAUACCCUGCUCACCAUACAACAUAAAGGAAACCGUAUAUAAUACCCUGCUCAGCAUACAACAUAAAGGAAGCAGUUUAUAAUACCCUGCUUACCAUACAACAUAAAGGAAGCAGUAUAUAAUACCUUGCUCACCAUACAACAUAAAGGAAACCGUAUAUAAUACCCUGCUCAGCAUACAACAUAAAGGAAGCAGUGUAUAAUACCCUGCUCAGCAUACAACAUAAAGGAAACCGUAUAUAAUACCCUGCUCAGCAUACAACAUAAAGGAAGCAGUAUAUAAUACCCUGCUCACCAUACAACAUAAAGGAAGCAGUGUAUAAUACCCUGCUCACCAUACAACAUAAAGGAAACCGUAUACAAUACCCUGCUCACCGUACAACAUAAAGGAAACCGCAUAUAAUACCCUGCUCACCAUACAACAUAAAGGAAGCAGUAUAUAAUACCCUUCUCAUUUAUUAGGUAUUUAAAACUUUACCUUGUUUACCAAUGUCUUAGUUUAUUGGUAAAGUGUCAGUCUGUUCAGAGUGCUUAUGUGGCUACAGAUCCCAAAUUCACUAGUAGCAGCAUUAUUUACAGAAAUACAGUAAUUCUAUUUGGCUAUUCUGUGUUUAGCACAGUAGCAGAUUUUGCUACUGUUAUCGAUGGGGGUCUCCCAGCACAGGGCAAGGCUGCCAAUCGUGCUAAGGGCCGCUCAGUGUUGUGAUCGCAAUCCAAUUGUGAACGCAUCACAAUUUGCGACUGCAGAAAACUAGGGUCGACCCCUGCCUGCGCAGCCUGGCUGUGAAGGCAGUCGCAGGUCGACCAUAUUUCGCAUUGCAGUGGCCGCAUGUGAAGUCACGUGGCCGUCCCAAAAAUAGCCCAGACCCCCUUAUGUUUUCGUCGGCACGCCCCACAAUGCCACAUCGCCGCCCCCAUCUGCCCCGCGAACUCCUGUGCCUGUCAAUCAGGCAGUGGCAUUCGCACCACUGAGAUGUGAUCACACUCUCCGGCCUGCGCAAAACGAGCACUGCGCAAGCGCACCAGAAAACGGCAACAUGCUAUCGCAUCUCAGAUGUGACCCAUCCUGAAUAAGGCUGUAAAUGGGUUUUCAUUUAUUUCUUUUUUGCUUUUCAGACUUUUUUAGGGCAAUACAAUUAAACUGACUAAACCAAUUUGUAUGUAUACAUACCUAGACU